Molecule: small nuclear RNA, 103 nt
Organism: Nannospalax galili (Upper Galilee mountains blind mole rat)
Lineage: Eukaryota; Metazoa; Chordata; Mammalia; Rodentia; Spalacidae
Source: Ensembl
GUGCUUGCUUCGACAGCACAUAUACUAAAACUGGAACAUACAGAGAUUAGCAUGGCUCCUGUGCAAGGAAGACACGCAAAUUUGUGAAGCAUUCCAUAUUUUU